RNAcentral lists this non-coding RNA (195 nucleotides) under Hymenobacter mucosus. Lineage: Bacteria; Pseudomonadati; Bacteroidota; Cytophagia; Cytophagales; Hymenobacteraceae. The record is from RNAcentral.
CCAGUCAGACGAGCGGCAGGUUUCCGAUGGUGGGUCGGAAUGAAAAGGGAACCGGGUGCAAUUCCCGGACAGACGCGCUACUGUAAGUAACCAUUUGCCAGUGCUGCCCCUUGAUAGGCCAUUGCCCCGCUGCGGGGUGAGAAGGCCGGGCAGCAUGUUACAAGUCAGGAGACCUGCCUGCCGCUCUUUAUGAUG